UACGAAGGGGGCUAGCGUUGUUCGGAAUUACUGGGCGUAAAGCGCGCGCAGGCGGUUUUUCAAGUCAGUGGUGAAAGCCCGGAGCUCAACUCCGGAACUGCCAUUGAAACUGUAAAACUUGAGGACGAGAGAGGUGAGUGGAAUUCCCAGUGUAGAGGUGAAAUUCGUAGAUAUUAGGAAGAACACCAGUGGCGAAGGCGGCUCACUGGCCCGGUACUGACGCUGAGGCGCGAAAGCGUGGGGAGCAAACAGG
Molecule: ribosomal RNA, 253 nt
Filed under: uncultured bacterium
Lineage: Bacteria
Description: partial 16S ribosomal RNA
Rfam family: Bacterial small subunit ribosomal RNA
Source: RNAcentral